AUUGAACGCUGGCGGCAGGCCUAACACAUGCAAGUCGAACGAGUGGCGGACGGGUGAGUAAUGUCUGGGAAACUGCCUGAUGGAGGGGGAUAACUACUGGAAACGGUAGCUAAUACCGCAUACCAUCGGAUGUGCCCAGAUGGGAUUAGCUUGUUGGUGGGGUUACGGCUCACCAAGGCGACGAUCCCUAGCUGGUUUGGGAGGAUGACCCGCCACCCUGGAACUGGGGAACGGGCCAGACCUCUAAGGGAGGCAGCAGGGGGGAAGUUUGCACAAAGGGAGCAAGCUUGAAUCAGCCAUGCCCGGUGGAUGAAGAAGGCCUUUGGGUUUGAAAGGUCUUUCAGGGGGGAGGCGUUACCCGCAGAAGAAGCACCGGCUAACCCCGGUGCAGCAGCCGCGGUAAUUU
This 406-nucleotide ribosomal RNA is filed under the name uncultured bacterium. RNAcentral's name for it is "partial 16S ribosomal RNA". It matches the Rfam family "Bacterial small subunit ribosomal RNA", at positions 30 to 526 of the family's 1533-position model. The record is from RNAcentral.